GUAUUUGGUUUAUGGAAUAAUAUGCUUCGUCAGCAAGGCUAUUAAAUAAAUGCAGAUGGCAACUAAGUUUACAGUGCAUGAACUGAACUCGAGAAAUUCCAACAUCUGUCAUGUAACGGUGGGUUUCUAAUAUAUUUUCUUCAAACAUAACAAUAAAGAAAAAACAUAAAGUAAAUUCAUAUCUCUAUUUAUGUACAUGCUUAAAAUUAAAUACAUAAUAAAAUAUGAACAUUUUUAGGGUUUUACUAAAAAUUGUAUUUGUAAUGCUCGUGAAGAAGGAAAUAGAUAAUUAAACACACAUCGUGGAAGGUCAUUCGGACAAUUUUAUUUAAACUCGACACGAGAGAGAUAAAACAGAAAGUACUUACUUGAUUAAUUUGUUCAAAAAGUGAAUCUUAGCAUGCUCU
Molecule: long non-coding RNA, 407 nt
Filed under: Physcomitrium patens
Lineage: Eukaryota; Viridiplantae; Streptophyta; Bryopsida; Funariales; Funariaceae
Description: long non-coding RNA (PPAT_LNC014655)
Source: RNAcentral